CCUGAGACCUGAUGCCGAGCCGAUUGUGGUGAAGUGGAUGAUCCUAUGCUGUCGAGAAAAGCCUCUAGCGAGUUUCAUGGCGGCCCGUACCCUAAACCGACUCAGGUGGUCUGGUAGAGAAUACCGAGGCGUUCGGGUGAACUAUGGUUAAGGAACUCGGCAAAAUGCCCCCGUAACUUCGGGAGAAGGGGGGCCACGCUUGGUGAUCCGAUUUACUCGGUGAGCUGGGGGUGGCCGCAGAGACCAGCGAGAAGCGACUGUUUACUAAAAACACAGGUCCGUGCGAAGCCGUAAGGCGAUGUAUACGGACUGACGCCUGCCCGGUGCUGGAACGUUAAGGGGACCGGUUAGCUGACUUUCGGGUUGGCGAAGCUGAGAACUUAAGCGCCAGUAAACGGCGGUGGUAACUAUAACCAUCCUAAGGUAGCGAAAUUCCUUGUCGGGUAAGUUCCGACCUGCACGAAUGGCGUAACGACUUCUCGACUGUCUCAACCAUAGGCCCGGUGAAAUUGCAUUACGAGUAAAGAUGCUCGUUUCGCGCAGCAGGACGGAAAGACCCCGGGACCUUUACUACAGUUUGAUAUUGGUGUUCGGUUCGGCUUGUGUAGGAUAGGUGGGAGACUGUGAAGCGGCCACGCCAGUGGUUGUGGAGUCGUUGUUGAAAUACCACUCUGGUCGUGCUGGAUGUCUAACCCGGGUCCGUGAUCCGGAUCGGGGACAGUGUCUGAUGGGUAGUUUAACUGGGGCGGUUGCCUCCUAAAGAGUAACGGAGGCGCCCAAAGGUUCCCUCAGCCUGGUUGGUAAUCAGGUGGUGAGUGUAAGUGCACAAGGGAGCUUGACUGUGAGACCGACGGGUCGAGCAGGGACGAAAGUCGGGACUAGUGAUCCGGCGGUGGCUUGUGGAAGCGCCGUCGCUCAACGGAUAAAAGGUACCCCGGGGAUAACAGGCUGAUCUUCCCCAAGAGUCCAUAUCGACGGGAUGGUUUGGCACCUCGAUGUCGGCUCGUCGCAUCCUGGGGCUGGAGUCGGUCCCAAGGGUUGGGCUGUUCGCCCAUUAAAGCGGUACGCGAGCUGGGUUUAGAACGUCGUGAGACAGUUCGGUCCCUAUCCGCUGUGCGCGUAGGAAUAUUGAGAAGGGCUGUCCCUAGUACGAGAGGACCGGGACGGACGAACCUCUGGUGUGCCAGUUGUUCUGCCAAGGGCAUGGCUGGUUGGCUACGUUCGGGAGGGAUAACCGCUGAAAGCAUCUAAGCGGGAAGCCUGCUUCGAGAUGAGUAUUCCCACCUCCUUGAGAGGGUAAGGCUCCCAGUAGACGACUGGGUUGAUAGGCCGGAUAUGGAAGCCCUGUAAGGGGUGGAGUUGACCGGUACUAAUAGGCCGAGGGCUUGUCCUC
Molecule: ribosomal RNA, 1393 nt
Filed under: Streptomyces sp. TverLS-915
Lineage: Bacteria; Bacillati; Actinomycetota; Actinomycetes; Kitasatosporales; Streptomycetaceae
Description: Bacterial large subunit ribosomal RNA
Rfam family: Bacterial large subunit ribosomal RNA
Source: Rfam by way of RNAcentral